Long non-coding RNA from Patella vulgata (common limpet), 2952 nucleotides. RefSeq lists it as uncharacterized. The record is from RefSeq and is a predicted model, not a curated record. The transcript has 5 exons. NCBI's taxonomy places the organism in Eukaryota, Metazoa, Mollusca, Gastropoda, Patellidae.
UUAUGGUUUUUUUUCCUUUGUUAUUGCAGACUCUUCAAUUAGUACUGAUCUGAUCAUUGGUUUGGGUAUAGGAUUACCUCUCUUCUUUUUACUGUUGGCUGUUGUAUUUGUCUUGGUUUACAUUAAAAUAAAAUCUAAGAAAAAGCAAGAAAUUGAAAAUCUGGUCGGAGAAAGUGUAAAUGGAUACCCUUUCGCUUCUUCAUUGCCCAAGAGAAGUUCCCACUCAGCUGCCAACUACAUGCAUUACGUACCUGAUGGGUUCUCAUCAGUAGGCUCUUCCAGUUCAAGCGAAACACGACCAGUAAACAAGAAACGCGAAGAAAGAGAUGAUUUCCGUGAUUCAGCAUGGUAUAACAAUGGCGGACUGGAUAGAGGUGUUGGAAAUGAACACCCAGGCUCCAAUUUCUCAUGGGACUACCUGUAUAGAAUGUUGCAUCCUGACAACAAGUUUGAAAUUCGACGACCAAAAGUAGCUGAAUCGCCAAAGCCUCCGUUUACACAGAGUAAGCGACAAUCGGCUGCCUAAAUGAAUAUGAUGUGAUAAUUCCAAGAUUAAAGAGAUGGCCAAAAAAAACAAGAUUAACAAGAUAUUAUAUAAAUUAACAAGAGGGUUUUCAAUCAUAUUAUACAAUAGGUCUAUGUUAUUUUUAUAUUUUAUAUUUGAAAGCUCAUACAAAUUAUGAUAUUAUUUGUUGAGAGAUUGCUUUUAUGGAUUGUGGUAAUAGUAUAUUGGUUUAGGUGAACUAUGAUGAAAGAAUUCAGCUUACGUUGGCAGGACCAACAUUAUUUUAUUACAUAAAAAUUCAAUAUAGGUUUUGAUAUACUCAUAUAAAUAUAUAUUCAUACAUCAACUAUUAUUUGUUAUUCCAUUUUGUUAUUCAUCCUUAAUAACUUUAUUGAUUAGUUGUUGUCUUUUGUUACAUUUUAGUGAUUUAAACAUAAAAUGUAAUAUAUUUUGUAAUAGAUGAUAUCCUCAUCCUCAACAAUUCAGAGUUUGAAAUAUAAAGUGAAAUUUAUAGAGUUGGCCAAAAACAAAAUGUUACCCAUUCUGAGAAGGGGUGCAUGGAUUAACCAUGUCAUUAAUUAUUGAACCGUGUUCAGAAAUACAUGUAGUGACAAAAUAGUAGACUGUUAGUAUCGAAUAAAAACUUCAUGCUUCUGUGACAUUUGUCUGAAAUUUUUUUUAUUAAAGUAUGUACAUUUAAAAAAGUAGUGUACAAUAAGAAUAAGUAACAGUUUGUGGUCCACCCUGUAUAGUUGAAUAGAUCAGAGUUUGAAAUAUAAAGUGAAAUAUAUGUUUUAAUAGAUGAUAUCAGUGUUAGAAAUGUAAAAUUUUCUCAAUAUAUUGUUUAAUAGCUGAUGAUAUCCUCAACAGUUCCGUUUUGGAAAUAUAAAAUCAAAAUACCAAUCUUACAAAACCUUUGUUAAAAAACAUUUCUCCAAAUUCAUAUAACCUGAAUAUUAUGAAGUUAUGGACUGUCAGAUGCCAGGCAUACAAUAAAUAACCAUGCAAUAAGUUGGCUAAUACCAGACAAUGAUAAUUAUUUUAAGAAACAAUUGUUAAUAUUAGUAUAUACAUGUCGAAAUAAGACAACAAAUAAAGAAAUAAGAAUGAAGAACAAAUAAUUAAGAAAACUGAAUAAAGAUCUGUUUGGUCUUCCAUAGUUAGGUUGUUGUAUCAUCCAGGUUUAGUUUAAGAUUAGAGUAAAAGAAAGUCGUCACCAUUAUGUUUUCCACUUAAAACUGCCAUGUUUGGUACAGAGGUGCACUAACUGAUAUCUAUAAAAAUGGACGGUAAUCUCCAAAAUUGAACUUUGACCUUAUUAAAACAUGGUGGAUAUAAAUGCAAUGAUUUUCUGAACAUAUCAACUUUAACAUCAUAUUAUCCACUUGAUUUGAUACUUCUUUGUUGUUUAUUACAAAGUCAGUUUAUUGUGUGUCUUAAAAGAUGGUUGCCGAGGUGUUAAACACUGUUCCUUUUCAUCUCACUGAUACCAAAUAAUGCUGGCUAUGUUCAAAUGUUUUUAUGUUUGUUAUUUGAUGUAACCAUUACACUAACUGGGUAUUUACGAUAUAUUUCCAUGAGGGUCAAAUAUAAUAAUAUACUUAAUUUUUUGUAACAAAUACAAAAGUAAUUCAUUCUUUUUUUUUGUAAUUACAUGUAAUGUUAUGUACACUUGUUCCUGACACUUGUUGUUGGACUGUACAUACAGUUGGUAUUGUUUUUAUUAUUGAAGCACAAGAUUAGGAUUAUGGAACACAAGUGAAUUGUAUCUACCCUACCUGAUUCAUCACUGAACGCCCAACAUUUUAUCUUGUGAAAACCGUUAUCUCAGACACUAAAGGGAAAGUCUGAGCUCUAAAAGAAAAAUACAAACAAAAAUUGAACUUUGGUUAUAUUCUAGACAUCUCACUUCACAUUACUAAGAAAAUCACAUUACCAAUUUCUGAUAAGGGGUUUGGUAGAAAUAUUCAUUUUUCUUUUCUAUCUAGUGGCUGCAAACCCACCUGCAUAUGCAUGUGACUUUAGAACAUAUUUUGAUGGCGCUGGUUCCCAAUCUAGAUUUUUUAAAUUAGAUUUACCAUGUCAAUGUGAUAGCAUUAUUUACAUAGUGUAUUCAUAUUGUCCAGCACCCAAUUUCAAAUCAAAUUUCAGCUUGAAUAAAGUACACAGAAGAUCAGUGUACUAUCUAAGACAAGAAUGCCAUAUCUUGUGAGCUUGAUUUGAAAAGUCAAAACAAUGAGUAUGGGCCAGCCAUUCAAUCAUUAGGGAGCUGCAAUUAUUUUUUAUUAGUGAAGAAAAUGUUUUGGAUAUUUUCUACUGGCACUCUCUGUCUAUAACGAUUACGCCAUUCUUUAUCUAUAGUCUACAGUCCAACUGAUUGUAUAUUUACAGUAUAAACCAGGUAUCAUAUUUUAUAACCUCAUUUAAUAAAAUAUAACCGUCCAAAA